RNAcentral lists this ribosomal RNA (440 nucleotides) under uncultured bacterium. Its description in RNAcentral is "partial 16S ribosomal RNA". It matches the Rfam family "Bacterial small subunit ribosomal RNA", at positions 338 to 795 of the family's 1533-position model. The record is from RNAcentral.
CCUACGGGAGGCUGCAGUAGGGAAUAUUGCUCAAUGGGGGAAACCCUGAAGCAGCAACGCCGCGUGGAGGAUGACUGUUUUCGGAUUUUAAACUCCUUUUGUUAGAGAAGAUAAUGACGGUAUCUAACGAAUAAGCACCGUCUAACUCCGUGCCAGCAGCCGCGGUAAUACGGAGGGUGCAAGCGUUACCCGGAAUCACUGGGUGUAAAGAGAGCGUAGGCGGGAUAGCAAGUCAGAUGUGAAAUCCUAUGGCUUAACCAUAGAAUUGCAGUUGAAACUGUUAUUCUAAAGUAUGGGAGAGGUAGGUGGAAUUCGUGGUGUAGGGGUAAAAUGCGUAGAGAUCAAGAGGAAUACUGAUUGCGAAGGCGACCUGCUAGAACAUAACUGACGCUGAUGCGCGAAAGCGUGGGGAGCAAACAGGAUUAGAUACCCUUGUAGUC